RNAcentral lists this ribosomal RNA (468 nucleotides) under uncultured bacterium. Its description in RNAcentral is "partial 16S ribosomal RNA". It matches the Rfam family "Bacterial small subunit ribosomal RNA", at positions 28 to 507 of the family's 1533-position model. The record is from RNAcentral.
GACGAACGCUGGCGGCGUGCUUAACACAUGCAAGUCGAACGGAAAGGCCCUGCUUUUGUGGGGUGCUCGAGUGGCGAACGGGUGAGUAACACGUGAGUAACCUGCCCUUGACUUUGGGAUAACUUCAGGAAACUGGGGCUAAUACCGGAUAGGAGCUCCUGCUGCAUGGUGGGGGUUGGAAAGUUUCGGCGGUUGGGGAUGGACUCGCGGCUUAUCAGCUUGUUGGUGGGGUAGUGGCUUACCAAGGCUUUGACGGGUAGCCGGCCUGAGAGGGUGACCGGCCACAUUGGGACUGAGAUACGGCCCAGACUCCUACGGGAGGCAGCAGUGGGGAAUAUUGCACAAUGGGCGGAAGCCUGAUGCAGCAACGCCGCGUGCGGGAUGACGGCCUUCGGGUUGUAAACCGCUUCCGCCUGUGACGAAGCGUGAGUGACGGUAAUGGGUAGAGAAGCACCGGCUAACUACGUG